RNAcentral lists this unclassified non-coding RNA (233 nucleotides) under Hevea brasiliensis (rubber tree). The record is from RNAcentral. Lineage: Eukaryota; Viridiplantae; Streptophyta; Magnoliopsida; Malpighiales; Euphorbiaceae.
UAAUCCCCAAAGGCUCUAGACAUUGCUAGGCCUGGUGAUUGCUGAUCUGGAAGCCAAAUUCUGUGCACUCCUGGCUCAUCAUCCAAACAGAACACUCGUCCCUUGCACUGAAGUAUCCGUUCAGACUCCUGAGGUAAAUUGGGCUUGAAAUCAACAGUAAGCUGAACUGCUACCAAGUUUCCAUCAUCUGAUGUGGUAGCCAAUACAGCUCUAGAGUCGCCAACAUUUGCUAC